ACUGAAAAAAUGUUGUCAUCUAUUGUUUUCACUUCCUCUUUCUAGCUGGUAGUGAACUACAAGAAUAUAAUUUAUAUUUUUUCUCUUUGUUUUUUACUUAUGCUUAUCCCAUUUUGCAGUUUAUUUUGGAACACCUUCUUGAAGAGAUUAACUGAUUCAUCUCAUGUUUGAUUUUUUGCUGUUAUUUGUUUUGCUCUAUAUAAAGGAUAAUAUUGGCCCAUGAUUAGGAUCCAAACAUGUGACCUUGCAAUGACAUAAUAGCAUAGGCUCGUCAGGUGGGGGUUACUUCCUGUACCUCCCCACUUCUAACCCCCACCCCCCAUUCCAUUUUUAAGAUUUGUUUUAUUAGUUUACUUUUUAUAUUAAUUUUCAAAUAUUUUAAUAAUGAAAUUUAUAUGUUUUGAUGUAUUAUUUUUAAAUAUAUUUUUAACGUAUAAAUGGGAGAGUGAGAGUUGCAGAGAGUGUUUGGAGGAGGGGCGUUUCAAAAGCUUUGGUGGGGGUGGGGGUGGGAAUACGAAGGAGAGGAAUUUGAGUCUGUGUGUUUUGACUGAGGCAGACUGUAAAAGAGUAGGUUAACUUUAGUAAAUAGGUGUAAAACGGUAAAAAUAAAAAAAACAUAAAGAUUAAUUUUGUAUUUAAAAAAAAAUCCAAAAAAAUUGGAGGGGUGGGGGUUGGAAUUGGGGAGGUACAGGGAGUAACUCCCUCGUCAGGUAGCUGUAGCCUGUUUUAUAGGCCCAAUGCUUUUGUCCUUCAUUUUUACAUGAAAGUUCAAAUCCAAACAGAAAUAAAAAAAAAAAAAUGAAACAGUCCAUUUGAAACUGAAGGUCUGGAUCAUUCCAUGAUUUUGAAAAGAGAGUUUGAUCCCUCUACCACCACACAAUUCUUUCUACACUUCCUCAAUUUUUUUUUUUAAUUCCAAAAUUAUCUUUUUUACUUUUAACAUUUAUCCUUCUUUACUUUUAUCUCAAAAUCCUAAUUACCCUUGCUCUUCCCUCUCAUUUUCACUCACAGCAGUCCCACCUCCCAGGGUCCAAUAUCAGCAC
RNAcentral lists this long non-coding RNA (1043 nucleotides) under Vigna radiata. RNAcentral describes it as "long non-coding RNA (VRAD_LNC005329)". Lineage: Eukaryota; Viridiplantae; Streptophyta; Magnoliopsida; Fabales; Fabaceae. The record is from RNAcentral.